Molecule: unclassified non-coding RNA, 246 nt
Filed under: Hevea brasiliensis (rubber tree)
Lineage: Eukaryota; Viridiplantae; Streptophyta; Magnoliopsida; Malpighiales; Euphorbiaceae
Source: RNAcentral
GGAAUAAAAUACUUAUCCUUUAUUGGAAGUCGAAAUUGGAUAUAUAACCCCUUCUUUCUUUAGUUAAGGAAUAAUCCAGGCCAAAGUAGUCGUAUAAGAAAAUGAUGUAUUUUAUAUCUAGUAAUAAAAAAAUUACAACUCCUUUAUACAGGGACAUGUGUCUCUUGUCUAAGAACUCGUCUAAUUAAAUUGUAUCAAAGAUCAACUUCUUGGAAAUUAUGUCAAAUCAAAUGAAGACCAAAAUGC